Molecule: ribosomal RNA, 505 nt
Filed under: uncultured bacterium
Lineage: Bacteria
Description: partial 16S ribosomal RNA
Rfam family: Bacterial small subunit ribosomal RNA
Source: RNAcentral
GACGAACGCUGGCGGCGUGCCUAAUACAUGCAAGUAGAACGCACAGUUUAUACCGUAGCUUGCUACACCAUAGACUGUGAGUUGCGAACGGGUGAGUAACGCGUAGGUAACCUGCCUGGUAGCGUGGGAUAACUAUUGGAAACGAUAGCUAAUACCGCAUAAUAUUGAUUAUUGCAUGAUAAUUGAUUGAAAGAUGCUAUUGCAUCACUACCAGAUGGACCUGCGUUGUAUUAGCUAGUAGGUGAGGUAUCGGCUCACCUAGGCGACGAUACAUAGCCGACCUGAGAGGGUGAUCGGCCACACUGGGACUGAGACACGGCCCAGACUCCUACGGGAGGCAGCAGUAGGGAAUCUUCGGCAAUGGACGAAAGUCUGACCGAGCAACGCCGCGUGAGUGAAGAAGGUUGUCGGAUCGUAAAGCUCUGUUGUAAGAGAAGAACGGGUGUGAGAGUGGAAAGUUCACACUGUGACGGUAUCUUACCAGAAAGGGACGGCUAACUACGUG